CACGCCGUAAACGAUGAGAACUAGAUGUUGGGGGAAAUUGUCCUUCGGUGUCGCAGCUAACGCGUUAAGUUCUCCGCCUGGGGAGUACGCCGGCAACGGUAAAACUCAAAGGAAUUGACGGGGACCCGCACAAGCGGUGGAGCAUGUGGUUUAAUUCGAUGCAACGCGAAGAACCUUACCUGCCCUUGACAUUGACAGAAUCCUUUAGAGAUAGAGGAGUGCUUCGGCCUGGAAAACAG
Molecule: ribosomal RNA, 239 nt
Filed under: uncultured bacterium
Lineage: Bacteria
Description: partial 16S ribosomal RNA
Rfam family: Bacterial small subunit ribosomal RNA
Source: RNAcentral